CUUCCCAGCAGACGGCGGAGGACAUGGCAAGGGUUGACAUGCUCAGAGGCGGCGCCGCCGGAGAUUAUCUGAAGGCAGGUGGCCUGGUUGGGGGAGGCGGAACAGAGCUCUGCUGGCCGCUGAAGGGGGGCCUGGUUGCGGGUGGCGGCGAUCUGAUGGGUGACGACGGCGGCGAGGGAGAGGACCGCUAUGAGAGAGAUGAAGAAGGCGAGCUUCCAGGCCGCGUGGGUUCCUCUUCCUGGAGACCUCAGUAGGGGUUCCUGGGUGACCGCCAUUGUUGAUCACUGGAUAGCAUCUCCCCGCAGCC
RNAcentral lists this long non-coding RNA (307 nucleotides) under Spirodela polyrhiza (greater duckweed). Its description in RNAcentral is "long non-coding RNA (SPOL_LNC002428)". Lineage: Eukaryota; Viridiplantae; Streptophyta; Magnoliopsida; Alismatales; Araceae. The record is from RNAcentral.